This 468-nucleotide ribosomal RNA is filed under the name uncultured bacterium. Its description in RNAcentral is "partial 16S ribosomal RNA". It matches the Rfam family "Bacterial small subunit ribosomal RNA", at positions 28 to 507 of the family's 1533-position model. The record is from RNAcentral.
GACGAACGCUGGCGGCGUGCUUAACACAUGCAAGUCGAACGGACAGGCCCUGCUUUUGUGGGGUGCUCGAGUGGCGAACGGGUGAGUAACACGUGAGUAACCUGCCCUUGUCUUUGGGAUAACUUCAGGAAACUGGGGCUCAUACCGGAUAGGAGCUCCUGCUGCAUGGUGGGGGUUGGAAAGUUUCGGCGGUUGGGGAUGGACUCGCGGCUUAUCAGCUUGUUGGUGGGGUAGUGGCUUACCAAGGCUUUGACGGGUAGCCGGCCUGGGAGGGGGACCGGCCACAUGGGGACUGAGAGACGGCGCAGAAGCCUACGGGAGGCAGCAGUGGGGAAUAUUGCACAAUGGGCGGAAGCCUGAUGCAGCAACGCCGCGUGCGGGAUGACGGCCUACGGGUUGUAAACCGCUUUCGCCGGUGACGAAGCGGGAGUGACGGUAAUGGGUAAAGAAGCACCGGCUAACUACGUG